This 509-nucleotide ribosomal RNA is filed under the name Bassus sp. CXX-2005. RNAcentral describes it as "partial 16S ribosomal RNA". Lineage: Eukaryota; Metazoa; Arthropoda; Insecta; Hymenoptera; Braconidae. The record is from RNAcentral.
UCACCUGUUUAUCAAAAACAUGGUUUUAAGAAUAAAAUUUAAAAUCUAAUCUGCUCAAUGAAAUUUUUAAAUAGCUGCAGUAUUAAUAACUGUACUAAGGUAGCAUAAUAAUUAGUUUUUUAAUUGAAAACUAGAAUGAAUGAUUGAAUGAAAAAUAAACUGUUUCUUAAUAAAAAUAAUUUAAAUUAUAAUUUAAGUAAAAAUACUUAAAUAAUUUAAAAAGACAAGAAGACCCUAUAGAAUUUUAUUAUAAAUUUUUAAAUUAAUAUAUUAAAAUUAAAUUUUAUAAAAAAUUAUAAUUUAAUUGGGGCAAUUAUAAAAUUUAAUAAAUUUUUAUAUUAUAUAAACAUUAUAAAUGAAUUUAAAUAAUUUAAUUUUUAAUAUAAUAAAUUUAAUUACCUUAGGGAUAACAGCAUAAUUUUAUUUUUUAGUUCUUAUAAAUAAUAAAUUUUAUGACCUCGAUGUUGAAUUAAAAAAAAAUUAAAUGAAAAAAAUUAUUAUACUAAGUC